GCACCAUUAGCUCAGUAGGUAGAGCACAUGACUUUUAAUCAUGGUGUCCGAUGGGUUCAAAUCCCCGAUGGUGCA
This 75-nucleotide transfer RNA is filed under the name Paludibacteraceae bacterium. RNAcentral describes it as "tRNA-Lys". It matches the Rfam family "tRNA". From Rfam's summary of the family: Transfer RNA (tRNA) molecules are approximately 80 nucleotides in length. Their secondary structure includes four short double-helical elements and three loops (D, anti-codon, and T loops). Lineage: Bacteria; Pseudomonadati; Bacteroidota; Bacteroidia; Bacteroidales; Paludibacteraceae. The record is from RNAcentral.